Molecule: ribosomal RNA, 469 nt
Filed under: uncultured bacterium
Lineage: Bacteria
Description: bacterial SSU rRNA
Rfam family: Bacterial small subunit ribosomal RNA
Source: RNAcentral
GACGAACGCUGGCGGCGUGCCUGACACAUGCAAGUCGGACGGUUCUUGCGCCUUCAAGCUUGCUUGUUGGUUCGAGGAUAGUGGCGGACGGGUGAGUAACGCGUGAACACCUACCCAUUGGAGGGGUACAACCCGUCGAAAGGCGGGCUAAUACCGCGUAAGCCGUGAGGUGAAAGGCUGCCUUUUGGUGGCUGCCGAUGGAUGGGUUCGCGUCCUAUCAGCUUGUUGGUGGGGUAAGGGCCUACCAAGGCUAAGACGGGUAGCCGGUCUGAGAGGAUGGCCGGCCACACUGGAACUGAGACACGGUCCAGACUCCUACGGGAGGCAGCAGUGGGGAAUAUUGGGCAAUGGGGGAACCCGUGACCCAGCGACGCCGCGUGAGGGACGAAGGUUUUCGGAUCGUAAACCUCUGUUGUACGGGAAGAAGGAUGUGACGGUACCGUACGAGUAAGCCCCGGCAAACUACGUG